RNAcentral lists this ribosomal RNA (305 nucleotides) under uncultured bacterium. RNAcentral's name for it is "bacterial SSU rRNA". It matches the Rfam family "Bacterial small subunit ribosomal RNA", at positions 332 to 637 of the family's 1533-position model. The record is from RNAcentral.
UGGACCUACGGGAGGCAGCAGUGAGGAAUAUUGGUCAAUGGCCGAGAGGCUGAACCAGCCAAGUCGCGUGAGGGAAGACGGCCCUACGGGUUGUAAACCUCUUUUGUCGGGGAGCAAAGAGAGUCACGUGUGACUCAUUGAGGGUACCCGAAGAAAAAGCAUCGGCUAACUCCGUGCCAGCAGCCGCGGUAAUACGGAGGAUGCGAGCGUUAUCCGGAUUUAUUGGGUUUUAAGGGUGCGCAGGCGGAGGUGCAAGUCAGCGGUCAAAUUGCGGGGCUCAACCCCGUACUGCCGUUGAAACUGCA